GUCAUUAAUAAACUGUCAGCUACGAAAUUUGCAUCAUAAUUCUUUUUAUUGUAAAAUCUUCCUCCUCACAAACCCAAAGUACACAUAUCUAAAUAAGAAACCGUCCGCUACAAGUAGUAAUCAUUAAGUUAAAACGGGAGGCCUUCAGGCUUGAGGAUUGCGUCAGGGGAUUUCAAAGUGCUGUUGUAUGUUGGGUUCAGAGGAUGAAGAGGCCCAAUAGCACUGACCGCUGACUUGGCUUCAUCGUUGCCCAGCACAUGGUGGGUUCCAUCACCGGAGCGCAGAAUUCUGUUUCUUAUCUGAAAUAUUUUACACUACGCUUAGACUGGGUGAUGUGAGGUGAAAACCUGGUGGUCCAGUCUGCCGCACACCGCAACUGCGGCUUCAAUCCAACUUACAGUUAGUUUCAGCAUCAAGGUCGCACUUUGAUGCUAUAGUGCUCCCCCGACAACGGAAUGUAUUGACCUGCUUAAGUAUUAACCGAAACUCCGACGAGACUCGUGAAUAGUGAUCAAACGUUGUGGCAGACCUUCUGGGAAGGAGGCAAUGGAACGGGAGAAAGAGUGCUCGUGUUCCUUCUCGGCACCCUGCCGCCGCGAAGUUGGGAAACUGAGGAGGGCAUUCAACCCUCCGGACCUUGUGAGAAGGCAAUUUCCAAGCAGUGGCAGUCGUCGUCAGACGUUCUGUGGAAGAGCAACUUGAUUUGCAGUGUAUCACGUUCCGACCCGGUGAGGUGUCCCGGGAUAACAGGGGGACCGCCCAGGCGGUCUGACUGCCGUACCGCGGAGACUAUAGAGAUAGCUUUGCAUUUUUCAGUUUCAAUUUUAUGUUGCAAUGUUAUAUAGUCUAUAUACCUACUUAUCUGAAUAUUGGUUCAAUCAAUGUAGGCAUAGUAAAAAGUUAACAGAACAACAAAAAACAUUCGGGUAUUUUCAUUUUGUGUAAAUAAUUUUAUUAAUUGACUUAGUUGCGGUCUCGGUGAGCAAAAAUGUAUCUGGGGAAUUUUCGAUUUUUAAUUAGCAUAAGACUUUGUUUUCUUUAAAAUGAACGGAAAGUACAAAUGUGUAAUUUAUUUUAUAUAAACUAUAUCAAGUAAUAAUUAAGUCAUUAAGUUUGUAAAUUCAAAUAUGUAACUUCUUUCACCAAUUGCGCCAAGCAUUUAAAUAACUUCACAUCUUAUAUCAUAUUAUUCGAGGCGUUAUACUAAUCUAAAUACAAAAAUAAAAUAAAAAACAGAAUUAAUAUGUAUAUUAUCCAGCAAUAUUUCCUCUUAUAACAUCACUAAUAAAUAAAAAAUAAAUA
Long non-coding RNA from Bombyx mori (domestic silkworm), 1302 nucleotides. RefSeq lists it as uncharacterized. The record is from RefSeq and is a predicted model, not a curated record. The transcript has 4 exons. NCBI's taxonomy places the organism in Eukaryota, Metazoa, Arthropoda, Insecta, Lepidoptera, Bombycidae.